Molecule: non-coding RNA, 78 nt
Filed under: uncultured Bulleidia sp.
Lineage: Bacteria; Bacillati; Bacillota; Erysipelotrichia; Erysipelotrichales; Erysipelotrichaceae
Description: TPP riboswitch (THI element)
Rfam family: TPP riboswitch aptamer (THI element) (bases 1-69)
About the family: Vitamin B(1) in its active form thiamin pyrophosphate (TPP) is an essential coenzyme that is synthesised by coupling of pyrimidine and thiazole moieties in bacteria. The previously detected thiamin-regulatory element, thi box was extended, resulting in a new, highly conserved RNA secondary structure, the THI element, which is widely distributed in eubacteria and also occurs in some archaea.
Source: RNAcentral
ACAGGGGUGUGCGUCACGCACUGAGACAGACCCUUAUCACCUGAUCUAGGUAAUACUAGCGUAGGGAGUUCCAAAAAC